GCCGAAAUAGCUUAGUUGGGAGAGCGUUAGACUGAAAAUCUAAAGGUCCCUGGUUCGAUCCCGGGUUUCGGCA
Molecule: transfer RNA, 73 nt
Filed under: Dermacentor silvarum
Lineage: Eukaryota; Metazoa; Arthropoda; Arachnida; Ixodida; Ixodidae
Description: transfer RNA phenylalanine (anticodon GAA)
Rfam family: tRNA
About the family: Transfer RNA (tRNA) molecules are approximately 80 nucleotides in length. Their secondary structure includes four short double-helical elements and three loops (D, anti-codon, and T loops).
Source: RNAcentral